CAUUUCUCAUUUAAAUUGCUUCUUACACAUUGAUAAUUCUCUAGUACUGAGCAGAGACUUUUCCAUCUGCUAUAUAUGGACAUCCAUGAUACAAACUAAAAUCAGAUUUGGAAAAUGCAAGUGAGACUUUAAUGGGGACAUUCAGGCGUGCAAGUUGUAAGUCAGAGUAAGUAUUGUGUGAAACCCAGUAAAGUUUACAUAGUAAGAAACUGAUUAGGAGAGUGAUGCACUAGUUUUACUGAAUUCCUAAGCUGAAGUGACAAUUUGAGAUAAAGUGAUUAUUACACACCUGUAGUCACAUGUGCUGCGUAAGUAGUCCAUAUCUCUAAUUAAACAGAAGUUCUCAUUUGUUUUGACGAGGCCCAGCUUGCUCCUGUCUGUUACAGAGCCCUUUCUUGUUGUGGUUAUGUGGGCAGGGUGCCUUCUGUGCCUACUGAUGGUGACCUGCUGCUAAAUUUCCAGAAUGCCCUUGAGUGUGUGAGCACAGGUGUGAGAGGUGAUGUAGACAAGGAGUAG
Molecule: long non-coding RNA, 516 nt
Filed under: Numida meleagris (helmeted guineafowl)
Lineage: Eukaryota; Metazoa; Chordata; Aves; Galliformes; Numididae
Description: lncRNA (ENSNMEG00000018191.1)
Source: RNAcentral